GGGGGAAUGAAAUAUAUUUACCGUAAUUUAACUGUAGUUUAAUUUCCUUUGGUACACAGUAAGCCAAUGAUCUCUGGAGAAUGUGCUGCUGUUUAAGAGGCUUACGAACAGAGGAAAGCAUUAAAUAAUCACACAACUUCCAGAUAUUUAUGGCUACAGUGAGAUCACCUGAUGUUCAGGAUGGUUUUUGUUGUUUUUCAAUCAGCUAUUGAAUUAAUCCGGAGCAUGCAUGCACAUCCAGGCUGCUAGGCUGCGGCAGUCCCAGGGGACAUGGUGUUUUGGCAGGACCAGGCUUGUGGCAGAUGGAAAUGCCCAUGGGCCAGUCUUAGCUCUGGAGCAGGGAAAAUGGCAUUGGCAAUACUCAGCCUUGUUGUGGCACUGCCUCUGUGAUGUCAUGUUUCAUUGUAAUGCCAUAGGGUACCUCCGUGCUUACCUUAUCAGAGCAUGCUGUGAGUGGGCGUGGGAGCAGACAGGCAGAUUCACAGAACAGGCUGACGUGGAAGACAUGCUGUAGAGAAAUGUGGGAAAUCCUAUCUGCUUCAGCAUCCAGUAAAUGUGGAGAGUGGAGAAAAAAAAACCCACACCUUCUGAGAUGUUUUCAGGAAGCUAACUGAUGAGCAUGUACUAGAAAUGCUUUUUUGCUGUUGUUUUUUUUUUUUUUAACCAAACAGAAAUAUGAGAAAAGUACCAAAAACUAUUCUUUGUAAUGGUGGUAGCAGUGCUGUAAAAUGGGAAUGCCACAUCUGUCAGUUAGAAUAGUAAGUAUUCCCAUUCUGACUGCUGUAAUAAUUAUUUUAGCUUUAAAUCUCAUCAUUAAAAACACACAAGAAGUAGGAGGUGAAACUGCAAAAUCUGCAAAACGGAGAAAAUGAUGAAGCUGAGGGAUGCAGCCCUCAUUUCCUACAACCGCUCAUCUUAAAACGCUGUCCAUUACGCAGCAGAGGAAGUACUUAAAUUCAGAUUGCUGCUCAUCUCCAUUAUCCCAAGAGGAUGUGUGUGGAUGCUAAUAUCCGUGUAUUUUUGUAGAUAUCUUUUUCUUUUGGCCUUGCUGUAAAUAUCUUAUAGUAGGAAAAGUUUAAAUUUUGUGGUUAAAGUUUACUCAUUUUCAUAAUUAAAAGGACAGCAUACUCACAGAGAAAUCUUUUGAAAUCUGAGUUGAUAUGGAAAUCACCUUGUAGCUGUGAAGCUUACAAGUGUAAUAAAAUAUGGAGGAGGAUUUUUUUAAUUACA
Molecule: long non-coding RNA, 1230 nt
Filed under: Numida meleagris (helmeted guineafowl)
Lineage: Eukaryota; Metazoa; Chordata; Aves; Galliformes; Numididae
Description: lncRNA (ENSNMEG00000018414.1)
Source: RNAcentral